RNAcentral lists this long non-coding RNA (1554 nucleotides) under Helianthus annuus (common sunflower). Its description in RNAcentral is "hypothetical non coding rna". Lineage: Eukaryota; Viridiplantae; Streptophyta; Magnoliopsida; Asterales; Asteraceae. The record is from RNAcentral.
UGCUACACGCAACUUUGAACUGAAUUAUACUCAAAAUGCGUCGUUAGAUCAAAGAACACACCGCUAGUGCCCAACCAGAUUAUAUGAAAUGUGUAGUUGGAGUGAUAGAAGAAGUACUACUAACACCCGAAAAUUGGGUCCAAGCAUUUCCCACCCAUGGUUGUUGAUUAGUAGUUUCCGAAACACCAAGAAACUGCCUUGAUAAAUUUAAACCGCGGUUGUCUUCCAUCUUCACUGGAGGAUCUAUUUGAGUGUUAUCAUCUCUUCCUACCAUUGAUGAUGAUGGUGCUUCAGAUACACCUUCACUUUGAUAGUGAAAUAGAUUCGGGUUACUAGGUACCUCAAAACCAGCCAAGUAAGGCAAUUUCCAAUUUUCAGCACCUCCAACUGAUAACAUAUUAUUGAAAUUAUUCCCAUUUGAGCUCCCACUUCCUAGUUGAAAACUACCCAUUUCAUUUUGAAGCUGAAAGCCAGCAAGAUUUGAGCUAAUAUUGCCACCAACACCUCCAUAUUGACCUAAAGAGGUCAUGAAUGGCAAUUGAAGAGAGGGAGGAUGAUGGAGUUGAGUACUAGUCAUUGUUUCUGUACUACACCUUGAUGGACUAUCACCUACAGAUUUAGGCCUUGUUUGGGUUGGAGAUUUUGAUCUUCUGUUUUUAUUACUCCUUUUGUUUUUCCGACAACCUCCCCCCACCGGAACGUUUCUUAGAGCACCACCGCGAGUCCAAUAACGCCUACAUGACUUGCAAAAGUGUCGUGGUUGCGUGAGGCUAUAGUUGUUGAAAUAGCAGAACUUAGUGUUGGUUGAUUCACAACGUGGACAAUUUAACCCUGGCUCUGGCAUAGGUAGAUUGAGCAUCCUUGCUCGGUCUACCAUAGAUCCUGGUCUGGUGGAACCUUCUCCACCAGCACCAGCACCAGCACCCCCUCCACUAGGAUGUGAUGGGGGUGGUGGUUGUACCGGUGGUGGAGGGAGAUUAGGGUUUUCACCACCAGCACCACCGACACUCGCUUGUUGGUGACUUGAUUGUUGCAACUAUAACAAAACAUAAAAAUUAAUUAAGAGAAGCUCACAAGAGUCACUAUAUGUACAAAGUAUAUUCAUUCAACGAGAAUAUGUAUGAAUAAGUAUAUAUCAUUCAAAGAGAAUAUGUAUGAAUAAGUAUAUAUCAUCUUUCAGUGACAUAUACUUUUCCCUUUUCAUUUGAAUGAAGUAUUAAUACAAAGAUUCACAAAAAGGAUCAUGCACCAAAGGAAGAAGGUUAAAGAUCAUACCUGAAGAUGCCAAUUGUGGUGAUCAAGAUAGGAUGGAACAGAUGAGAACGCCAUGUUCUAACUAAAUUGAUCUCUCUUUUUCUCUUUUAGAAAGCUUUUAAGGGUUUCAACUCGAUAAUAUAUGCGAGUUGGGAAUCAAAGACAAGAUAAUAAUAUACAGAAAGGGUAGAUUAGAGAGAGAGGAGGAAAUAUGAUGAUGAUAAAAAGAAAAAGAAGAUGAUGACGAUGACGGCGAUGAUGGGAAGGCAAGAUAAGGGAGAUGAGGCUUUUGGUUCUUGA